GACGAACGCUGGCGGCGUGCUUAACACAUGCAAGUCGAACGCUGAAGCUCAGCUUUUGUUGGGUGGAUGAGUGGCGAACGGGUGAGUAACACGUGAGUAACCUGCCCCCUUCUUUGGGAUAACGCCCGGAAACGGGUGCUAAUACUGGAUAUUCACUGGUCUUCGCAUGGGGGUUGGUGGAAAGGGUUUUUCUGGUGGGGGAUGGGCUCGCGGCCUAUCAGCUUGUUGGUGGGGUGAUGGCCUACCAAGGCUUUGACGGGUAGCCGGCCUGAGAGGGUGACCGGUAACAGUGGGACUGAGAUACGGACCAGACUACUACGGGAGGCAGCAGUGGGGAAUAUUGAACAAUGGGAGCAAGCCUGAUGCAGCGACGCCGCGUGAGGGAUGGAGGCCUUCGGGUUGUGAAGCUCUUUCGCUCAUGGUCAAGCCGCAACAAUGGUUGUGGUGAGGGUAGUGGGUAAAGAAGCGCCGGCUAACUACGUG
This 483-nucleotide ribosomal RNA is filed under the name uncultured bacterium. Its description in RNAcentral is "partial 16S ribosomal RNA". It matches the Rfam family "Bacterial small subunit ribosomal RNA", at positions 28 to 507 of the family's 1533-position model. The record is from RNAcentral.